GGGCGUAAAGCGUCCGCAGGCGGUUUUUUAAGUCGAAUAUUAAAUCUCGUAGCCCAACUUCGAGGCUGUAUUCGAAACUGAGAAACUAGAGUUUUCCAGAGGCAAGCGGAAUUCUGUGUGUAGGGGUAAAAUCCGUAGAUACACAGAGGAACACCAAAAGCGAAAGCAGCUUGCUGGGGAAAUACUGACGCUCAUGGACGAAAGCGUGGGUAGCGAACGGGAUUAGAUACCCCGGUAGUCCACGCCGUAAACGAUGGAUACUAGUUGUUGGAGGACUCGAUCCCUUCAGUGACGACGCUAACGCAUUAAGUAUCCCGCCUGGGGAGUACGGUCGCAAGAUUAAAACUCAAAGGAAUAGACGGGGACCCACACAAGCGGUGGAGCACCUGGCUUAAUUCGAUAAUGAGCGAGGAACCUUACCUAGGUUUGACAUCUCGGGAAUUUUCUAGAAAUAGAAAAGUGCCUUAUGGAACCCGAUGACAGGUGCUGCAUGGUUGUCGUCAGCUCAUGCCUUGAGGUGUUCGGUUAAGUCCGUAAACGAGCGCAACCCAUGUCCUGUGUUGCAUUUUUCACAGGAGACUGCCGAUUCAAAGUCGGAGGAAGGUAUGGAUGACGUCAAAUCAGCAUGGCCCUUAUACCUAGGGCUGCACAGGUGCUACAAUGGCUAGUACAAUGGGUAGCAAUGUCGCAAGGCGGAGCCAAUCCCAAAAGCUAGUCUAAGUUCGAAUUGAGGGCUGCAACUCGCCCUCAUGAAGUUGGAAUCG
This 764-nucleotide ribosomal RNA is filed under the name uncultured bacterium. RNAcentral describes it as "bacterial SSU rRNA". It matches the Rfam family "Bacterial small subunit ribosomal RNA", at positions 556 to 1334 of the family's 1533-position model. The record is from RNAcentral.